CCUACGGGUGGCAGCAGUGGGGAAUAUUGGGCAAUGGGCGCAAGCCUGACCCAGCAACGCCGCGUGAAGGAAGAAGGCUUUCGGGUUGUAAACUUCUUUUCACAGGGACGAAGCAAGUGACGGUCCCUUUGGAUUAACCCACGGCUACCUACGUGCCAGCAGCCGCGGUAAUACGUAGGUGGCAAGCUUUAUCCGGAUUUACUGGUGGGAAAGGGCGUGUAGGCGGGGCUGGAGGUCAGAUGUGAAUCCCAUGGGCUCAACCUGUGGCCUGCAUUUGAAACGGUAGUUCUUGAGUGCGGGAGAGGCAGACGGAAUUCCUGGUGUAGCGGUGAAAUGCGUAGAUAUUAGGAGGAACACCAGUGGCGAAGGCGGACUGCUGGACGGCAACUGACGCUGAGGCGCGAAAGCGUGGGGAGCAAACAGGAUUAGAUACCCUUGUAGUC
RNAcentral lists this ribosomal RNA (443 nucleotides) under uncultured bacterium. Its description in RNAcentral is "partial 16S ribosomal RNA". It matches the Rfam family "Bacterial small subunit ribosomal RNA", at positions 338 to 795 of the family's 1533-position model. The record is from RNAcentral.